Molecule: ribosomal RNA, 840 nt
Filed under: uncultured bacterium
Lineage: Bacteria
Description: bacterial SSU rRNA
Rfam family: Bacterial small subunit ribosomal RNA
Source: RNAcentral
GCUUAACACAUGCAAGUCGAACGGAAAGGCCCUGCUUUUGUGGGGUGCUCGAGUGGCGAACGGGUGGGUAACACGUGAGUAACCUGCCCUUGACUUUGGGAUAACUUCAGGAAACUGGGGCUAAUACCGGAUAGGAGCUCCUGCUGCAUGGUGGGGGUUGGAAAGUUUCGGCGGUUGGGGAUGGACUCGCGGCUUAUCAGCUUGUUGGUGGGGUAGUGGCUUACCAAGGCUUUGACGGGUAGCCGGCCUGAGAGGGUGACCGGCCACAUUGGGACUGAGAUACGGCCCAGACUCCUACGGGAGGCAGCAGUGGGGAAUAUUGCAUAAUGGGCGGAAGCCUGAUGCAGCAACGCCGCGUGCGGGAUGACGGCCUUCGGGUUGUAAACCGCUUUCGCCUGUGACGAAGCGUGAGUGACGGUAAUGGGUAAAGAAGCACCGGCUAACUACGUGCCAGCAGCCGCGGUGAUACGUAGGGUGCGAGCGUUGUCCGGAUUUAUUGGGCGUAAAGGGCUCGUAGGUGGUUGAUCGCGUCGGAAGUGUAAUCUUGGGGCUUAACCCUGAGCGUGCUUUCGAUACGGGUUGACUUGAGGAAGGUAGGGGAGAAUGGAAUUCCUGGUGGAGCGGUGGAAUGCGCAGAUAUCAGGAGGAACACCAGUGGCGAAGGCGGUUCUCUGGGCCUUUCCUGACGCUGAGGAGCGAAAGCGUGGGGAGCGAACAGGCUUAGAUACCCUGGUAGUCCACGCUGUAAACGGUGGGUACUAGGUGUGGGGUCCAUUCCACGGGUUCCGUGCCGUAGCUAACGCUUUAAGUACCCCGCCUGGGGAGUACGGCCGCAAGGCU